This 468-nucleotide ribosomal RNA is filed under the name uncultured bacterium. RNAcentral describes it as "partial 16S ribosomal RNA". It matches the Rfam family "Bacterial small subunit ribosomal RNA", at positions 28 to 507 of the family's 1533-position model. The record is from RNAcentral.
GACGAACGCUGGCGGCGUGCUUAACACAUGCAAGUCGAACGGAAAGGCCCCGCUUUUGUGGGGUGCUCGAGUGGCGAACGAGUGAGUAACAAGUGAGUAACCUGCCCUUGACUUUGGGAUAACUUCAGGAAACUGGGGCUAAUAACGGAUAGGAGCUCCUACUGCAUGGUGGGGGUUGGAAAGUUUCGGCGGUUGGGGAUGGACUCGCGGCUUAUCAGCUUGUUGGUGGGGUAGUGGCUUACCAAGGCUUUGACGGGUAGCCGGCCUGAGAGGGUGACCGGCCACAUUGGGACUGAGAUACGGCCCGGACUCGUACGGGAGGCAGCAGUGGGGAAUAUUGCACAAUGGGCGGAAGCCUGAUGCAGCAACGCCGCGUGCGGGAUGACGGCCUUCGGGUUGUGAACCGCUUUCGCCUGUGACGAAGCGUGAGUGACGGUAAUGGGUAAAGAAGCACCGGCUAACUACGUG